Molecule: ribosomal RNA, 1576 nt
Filed under: Lactiplantibacillus plantarum subsp. plantarum
Lineage: Bacteria; Bacillati; Bacillota; Bacilli; Lactobacillales; Lactobacillaceae
Description: Lactobacillus plantarum subsp. plantarum 16S ribosomal RNA
Rfam family: Bacterial small subunit ribosomal RNA
Source: RNAcentral
UUAAUUUGAGAGUUUGAUCCUGGCUCAGGACGAACGCUGGCGGCGUGCCUAAUACAUGCAAGUCGAACGAACUCUGGUAUUGAUUGGUGCUUGCAUCAUGAUUUACAUUUGAGUGAGUGGCGAACUGGUGAGUAACACGUGGGAAACCUGCCCAGAAGCGGGGGAUAACACCUGGAAACAGAUGCUAAUACCGCAUAACAACUUGGACCGCAUGGUCCGAGCUUGAAAGAUGGCUUCGGCUAUCACUUUUGGAUGGUCCCGCGGCGUAUUAGCUAGAUGGUGGGGUAACGGCUCACCAUGGCAAUGAUACGUAGCCGACCUGAGAGGGUAAUCGGCCACAUUGGGACUGAGACACGGCCCAAACUCCUACGGGAGGCAGCAGUAGGGAAUCUUCCACAAUGGACGAAAGUCUGAUGGAGCAACGCCGCGUGAGUGAAGAAGGGUUUCGGCUCGUAAAACUCUGUUGUUAAAGAAGAACAUAUCUGAGAGUAACUGUUCAGGUAUUGACGGUAUUUAACCAGAAAGCCACGGCUAACUACGUGCCAGCAGCCGCGGUAAUACGUAGGUGGCAAGCGUUGUCCGGAUUUAUUGGGCGUAAAGCGAGCGCAGGCUGUUUUUUAAGUCUGAUGUGAAAGCCUUCGGCUCAACCGAAGAAGUGCAUCGGAAACUGGGAAACUUGAGUGCAGAAGAGGACAGUGGAACUCCAUGUGUAGCGGUGAAAUGCGUAGAUAUAUGGAAGAACACCAGUGGCGAAGGCGGCUGUCUGGUCUGUAACUGACGCUGAGGCUCGAAAGUAUGGGUAGCAAACAGGAUUAGAUACCCUGGUAGUCCAUACCGUAAACGAUGAAUGCUAAGUGUUGGAGGGUUUCCGCCCUUCAGUGCUGCAGCUAACGCAUUAAGCAUUCCGCCUGGGGAGUACGGCCGCAAGGCUGAAACUCAAAGGAAUUGACGGGGGCCCGCACAAGCGGUGGAGCAUGUGGUUUAAUUCGAAGCUACGCGAAGAACCUUACCAGGUCUUGACAUACUAUGCAAAUCUAAGAGAUUAGACGUUCCCUUCGGGGACAUGGAUACAGGUGGUGCAUGGUUGUCGUCAGCUCGUGUCGUGAGAUGUUGGGUUAAGUCCCGCAACGAGCGCAACCCUUAUUAUCAGUUGCCAGCAUUAAGUUGGGCACUCUGGUGAGACUGCCGGUGACAAACCGGAGGAAGGUGGGGAUGACGUCAAAUCAUCAUGCCCCUUAUGACCUGGGCUACACACGUGCUACAAUGGAUGGUACAACGAGUUGCGAACUCGCGAGAGUAAGCUAAUCUCUUAAAGCCAUUCUCAGUUCGGAUUGUAGGCUGCAACUCGCCUACAUGAAGUCGGAAUCGCUAGUAAUCGCGGAUCAGCAUGCCGCGGUGAAUACGUUCCCGGGCCUUGUACACACCGCCCGUCACACCAUGAGAGUUUGUAACACCCAAAGUCGGUGGGGUAACCUUUUAGGAACCAGCCGCCUAAGGUGGGACAGAUGAUUAGGGUGAAGUCGUAACAAGGUAGCCGUAGGAGAACCUGCGGCUGGAUCACCUCCUUUCUAAGGAA